UUCAACUUGCAUCUAUAUUUGGAUCGUAAAGUCUUGAAUUCACACUGCUGUUGUGCAGUUCCCGAGCCGCACCUUGAGUCAAAUGUUCAAACCCUAUGCCUUGUUUGUUCCUCCACGAUGCAGUACAGGCAGCUUCUAGGAACCUCCGUUUUUCUUCAACACGUCUUAUCAUUUUCAUUGCACUGGCUCAUCUCUGUCUUUUGUUUUCCCUCGGCUCUAGCAUCCCAUGGACCAGCACAUACACAUUCUGCUCGGCGCCAUGGCAGAUGGUAUGCCCAAUCGGCAACAGCCACACAGCCGUCCCCAAGGGCUGGCGCCUGACCGCUCGUCCACCGACAUGUGCGUCAUGGCUCGCUGCCCUCGUUAGCGUCCGGUCGAUCCAGCGCCGCCAGCCCACUGUUGCCUGCUCUGCUCCCGGUUGCUUGCUCGCGGCCGGCCAGGUAGCGGCCCUCGCUGCCCGCCCGCGGCUUCGCCGCUCCUCGCCCAAAGCCAGCUCGGCGCUGCCGUGGCCUGCCAACAGCCUGCCCUGUGCCCCACUCCUCGGUCGCGGUCGGCUAGGCGGUGGCUGUCGCUCCCCGCCUGCGACCAGACCGGCAUCGUUGCUCCCGGCCUGCUCCUCGCCUGCGGCCGGCCAGGCGCGGUCGUGGGAGAUGGGGAAACGAGGCUCCACGAGCGUGAGCGCCCGGGCGUAGGCGAGGAGCGCGUUCCGACGCUACUCGAGGGAGGACGCGUCCGGAAAGGAGGGCUGCUUGACCGCGAUGCGGAUGUCGCGCACCGUGCUCUGAGGUCGUCGUCGAGCACGAGCGCGAGCACCCGUGCGUAGGCGAGGAGCGCGUCCCGGCGCUGCCUGAUGGUGUCUGCCUUCGCGGCCUCCGGCCUUCCAGAAAACUUCCGCGCUCCUUCCCCCGCCCUUCAUUUUUUUCCCAUCCAUCCCUCCUGGGUCCUGGCCGAUUGUCUACCCUUUCGCUGCUCGUCUUUCGUCUUCUCCACUGACCAUUAUUUGCUUCCUUUGCGUCGCGUCUCACCUUCUCGCUCACGCGCCCAUUCUUUGCUUCCUUUUCCUGCCUUACUUGCUCUGGGUAGCUGCCUACGCUUGUGCUGCUUGUACUGGUCCUGCGUGCUGGUUUGCGGCCCUCCGGUUUUCAAGGUGCAUCAGCGUGGGCUGCCUGAUCCGUUCUUUGAAGAUCCUUGUUAGGUACAUUUUAUUUCUUCAUACUUCAUCAAAUCUUCUACGCUCUUGUAGGACUUGGCGGCCUGAUCUGCAUUACCCAAUACUUUUCUUCACCCAUCUUUGUUCAACUUUACCCAAGGUUGUGAUACUUUCCUCGGCAAUAUUUGAACUCUGCAGAGGUUCCCCAUUUGCCAGUUCUCCAGGCUUUUAUUUGCUCGCUGCAAAGAACUAGGAUCUGUGUUGGAAUAAUUUUAUUUUGUCGUUAUUGAUUAGGAUGGCAACCAUCAAGUGCCAGUUUGUUUCGUCCAUUAUUGCUGCAUAAUAGUACACCAAAAAAAAAUACAUGAGGAGCUGUAGUACAUAUGCUCACUUUUACCCCUAUCUCUACCUUCUGUCUCAUGUCUUUUUUGUGUUUCUCUUAUCUUUGUUUUUUUGUGUUUCAUCUCUAGUCUGUCCAAUUUGCUUGGGACAAAAGACUACGUUGUUGUUGUACAUUCCCCUAGAAAAAAAGGUAUUUCGUAAUUGAUGGUAAAGACCCGUAGUCUUAGCCUAUCUGCUGCCAAUCUCAGCUAUUAAUCUGUCAAGUAGUCUUCUUCUUUUGACAGCAACAAACUCAAAGUCUUUCUCCA
Molecule: long non-coding RNA, 1800 nt
Organism: Panicum virgatum (switchgrass)
Lineage: Eukaryota; Viridiplantae; Streptophyta; Magnoliopsida; Poales; Poaceae
Exons: 2
Source: RefSeq, a predicted model, not a curated record